RNAcentral lists this small RNA (7718 nucleotides) under Monomorium pharaonis (pharaoh ant). RNAcentral's name for it is "uncharacterized LOC105837564, transcript variant X2". The record is from RNAcentral. Lineage: Eukaryota; Metazoa; Arthropoda; Insecta; Hymenoptera; Formicidae.
CAGUUAAAUGUUGCUGUAAAUAUUAACUAUUAAUUAGCUUGAAUACAGUUUUCAAUGUUUUUAAUAAUACUAAUUUUAACACAAAACAACAGCAAUACGGUAACGGAUUCCGGAUCACCGGUAGCACAAUAAGAAACGGUAUCCUUUAUCCGGACCCGCACGAGAGUCGACCGCCUUAUGCGAAUCUUACGUAAAUCCGGGUGGCUGCCGAGUGAUGGCCUUACAGAGCGGUAACUUGACCCACCGGAUGCGGUAACUAUGGCUGGUCUUUUCAAUGCGGUAACCUAGGGACUCGUCCUCGUCGAUGCGUCUUAUCGCACGGCUUGCCGAACAGUGAGGAGCUCCGGCCCCGCGUCGGCCGGCUCGAGCCGCCGUGCAGGCACGUGCGCUUCGGUUUUCGAUGGUGGAUCCGCGUGCGUCGCAGGAUCCUCGGUCUAUCGCUGCGCUGCCUCACCCCUCGAAAUUUCCCGUGAUCAGCGCGUGUUAACUUCCACGGCGAGAUCUCUCUUGCCCCGCUGUUUCGGUCGGUCCGGCUGGCCAGGCCGCGACCAACCGAUUUUGGUGGCGGGCGGGUGGCAUUGAUACGGCCGCUCCUCCGGUCUGCAGCCCGGUGGUGUGCCCUCGGCGUGAUUCUUCCAGAGAAUCGUCUUGUAGUCGUGCGGUAUUUUUGCGGGGUCGGUAUCCUCGUAGCUCAGGGGCGGCAUCGCGCAGCGGGGCCCGAUGCACGGCUCGGCGGGGCAACUCCUUGCGAGGCACCUCGUCCACUGUCGACAGCUCGCGACAAUAUUCCCACGACGGCUGCUCCUCCUCCGUUUUUAAUACAAUUUGACAUGAGCUCACACUCGGCGCCUUAACUCUAAAUAACUAAUAGUUAAAAUGGAAAAACGGUAACACGGAAGCUAGAAAAGAAAAAGAUAAUAAAACAAAGUCGUAUCCCCCUCGGCGAGGAGAAGCCCCAGACCGACCCCCUCGGUCGGGCUUACGCCCUUGUGACGAGCGCGGCCGGACGCGUCACGUCACAUUCUAUAAUUGAUUGUCAAUCAUGUUGAUCAUGUCCAUGAUAUUGUUUUAUAGUUUCCUCAAUGUGGUGGACUAUAUAAACAAUUUAUUUCCCAUGGAGCAGUCACUGUCAUUGAUGAGGGGUGAAUAAUAUAGAAAAUAUGACUAUUGAUACACACUAUUGAUAAGGAGAUACGGUCAGUUGUGCGUGGUCAGACAAACGUGAAUCGGGAUGGUAGAACAGUAUUGGAAAAUGCGCAAAAGAUGAUAAGACAAUUUCAUUUCAUUAAUUCAUUUAUAAUUAACUUAAGUUUAGCACGCAUUACAUAUAAAUUAAUGUCUAAUUUGUAAUAGUAUAAUGAGAUCAAUACAAUCGUAGAAAAUACAAGCGUAUUAAAAAUAUUAAUAUGGUAUCAAGUAAUCUUAAAGUAACAGCAAAGUAAAUUUAAUCUAAUUGCAUUUUAGGAGAGGAAAGUCACUGUUAUCAGAGAGCAAUCUGCGUGCAUGUCUAUUUGAAAUAGCAAUAACAGAUCAGAAGAUAGAGAUACAAAGAUAGAUGAGACAGAAGAAAUCGGGUCAGGAGAUGAAGAAGCAGUGGAAUCAAAAGAGGAAUCUAAAGAAGUGGUUUCGGACAAGGAGUAGCAAAUAGCCCAUACAAUUCGUAAACAUCUUCAGGAAUGGAUGUUUGUUCUGGUAUCAUAGGUAGCUCAGAGUGGCAUACGACAGAUAUUGAAAUACGUAUUCUCAUAACAAGCAAUGUGCAAUAUGACAACAACAAACAGUCAUCCGAGGAAUUUCAAUAAGUAAUUGUGUGUCGAUUCUAAUUUAGUCUGAUUUAGUUAAGAAAUUGCAAUAUUAAUUUAUAAAUGCGAUGUUUUAUAAUCUUUUUCAUUUUAUUUUUUUCCAAGAAUGAUACAUGUUUGAGAUUCGACCGUUAACAUAAUAUUUUCUGAUAAACAUAAAUAUUUUCUGUUUCCCGUCGUGAGAUGCUGUCGGGAAAUCAUCAUCUCAUCUCGCCGAGCCGGAGCGUGGACCCGUGGAUUUCACACGUACACGCCGUGAUCGCGUGAAGUACCGGGCCGAUCAGCUGCUUGCUCUUCCUCCUAACGACGAAUAUCGGGGGAGGGUAAAGCGCGUUACCAUUUUUCGGCGCGAAUUUUAGGCAGUCUUGCGCUCGCUCUCGCCCGCCAAGUACUUCGAUUUCACUAAGGCAGUAGCGCUCAGUGUGCCGACUCAUUCAAAUCUCAACUUCUAAAAAAGUUCAAAUCCGGUCUUCUACUUAUGUUUUAAUUACAUAUUGUGUUGUAUCAAGUCACGAAGUUCUCCUCCGCGCAGUGCCAAUCUUGUGGGAAGCGAAAUCGAGCAGCGCGCUCGCGAUCGAACAACUGCCUCGCGAUCCAUUGUCCGUCUCGACCGCGUACAAGAUUUCCGCUACGGUGGGGCGUUGUGAAACACGCUCGGCAAGAUAUCCGUCGCGCAAUUAAAGGCAGGAAGGACAACCGUUCGACCCGAAGAUUUCCGCUCGUUUAAAAUUGGCUCUUCACUCCCGCACGCUCGCGUUCUUCGUGAUUCGCGAUAGUUGUACAGUUAAGUGUUAAGAAAUAAACGGUGCUUGUGACUUUGAAAAAUCCUGCAUUAUUUCAUUUGUGCUUGUGUAUCCUCCAGCGAGUUCGCGGAUUCGCGCAACACGCUCUCUGCGCUCAAGUCUGGGCGGAUCCGGCCUCUAGCGCGCACGGUUGCCGUCGGCAAACGAAUUCGCGCGCACAAUACAUAUUUAUUUGUUAUGGUGAUACGUGUACUGUUUAUCUACCUACCGAAGUUUGAAUUAUAAGCCUAAUAUGUGAUCAACUGAAGCCUGUAGUACCGUGGCGAUCGAAUUAAAGUGAUUCUAAAUGAAGUCCGUGAAGCUGUGAGAGCAUUUUACUUUCCAUCAUUUGCAUAUGCUAGUAGAAGGAGUAGAUAAUCUAAAGUACGUACAUUAAAAAUAUUUAGACAUUAUAUUAUUUAGACAUUGUCUUAAAAUUUACUGCGGAUUUCAUUGGUCUGGCUUCAGAGUAUUAACACAAAGGAAACAAUAGAGAAAUUAUUUUACCAUUGCAAGGAGUGAAACAGAUGAUGCAACAUUUUAACAGCUACAUGGACAUAUUACAAGUAAAGCAAUUAUCUGAUCAAGUUCGUCAGAUUCAGGAUGAGUUGGCCCAGCAGAUUACAGCGAAUCUCAAACAGGCCUUUUUGAGUCAAAAUCCAAAGCAUUUCAAUCAGUUAACGGAAGGAUGUUUAGUAUUAUCAGAAUUGCAUCCUAAAAUAAAGAAAGAUCUGCUCGUUUGGUUUGUAAAUAUCCAAUUGCAAGAAUACGCACAUUUGUUCGAUGAGAAUUAGAAUUUUGCCUGAUUGGAUAAGAUAGAUCGAAGAUAUAUGGAUUAAGAAACAUCUGUUUGAUUUUGAGACAAAAUUUGAUGCAAUCUUUCCCCAAGAUUAAGAGAUUUUUGAGCAAAUAGCUAUACAAUUCUACCAUGUCACGUGUGAAGAUCUUUAGUUAACGAACAAGAGACAUAAUGAGAUAGACAUUAAAUUAUUGCUGUACUUUUAUAUAAACUGUGUUUUUUAUGUAUAUAAAAAUGUAUUACAUGUAUUGUAUUACAAAUAAAUAUUAUGUGAUUAAUGUAAAAAUAAAAAUUAAAAUAUUUAAUGUGUGCUAUGUUUAUUAAAAUCUAACUUAACCUUGAGACCGCCUAAAGGGAGCGCCCAGCAGCAACGACCGGAGGUAUCCACGCCCAAGGAGCAGGACGUCAUCCGAGCCUAUUCCGUCACGCGUGUGGAGAAAAGAAAAGGCGACGAAAAGGCGGUAGUCACAGCCAAGGGUAACAAGACCCAGGACAACGACGCCCUGACCCACAGAGGAGGCUGAGGCACGGAGGAGCGCACACCCCCCCCCACGCGUGCAAAUAUCCGACCUCGCUAUCAGACGUUAACCCUAGUAUUAGUAUCAUAUACAUAGAUUUAGUUUUAGGUUAAAUAUAGCCAGCUUAACUGGCCCAGUAAAAUUUAUCAUACCAAUUAUAAUCGCAUAUAUCUAUUAUUAUUAAUCAAGUAUAGCAUAAGAAUAAAGUACGUGUUAUCUAUUCCUUUAUAAAAAUAUAUUAAUUACUUUGUUGCUCUAUUCCGCGUUAUAAUAGUUAAAGGUUAGCGCGACGAAUUAGAGAUCAUUGCGCGUCAGGCAAUCAAAGUGUCUUUAGACCAUACUGACGAUCUAAAUAACUAUGUUAGAAUUGCAGACACAACUGCAGGAAUAUUAUUUUCUUUUAUUAAUUAUAAUUUUACUUCGAUUAAAUAUUUCUUUCAUAGUAUCUUAUGCUUUUUCAAUGUACUUUAUUAUAUUAUAAAAUUUAUAUUAACCUGUCAAAUAUUGCUUUUAUCGAUCACUUAGAGCAUAGAAAAUGCGCGAAAAAUGAUUUAGUGUACGUAACAGGCAUAUCUUAGGGAUUGCACCCGGUGCAAUAAAUCUGCACUUUUGGGUGCAAAAUCAAAAAUACGCGGAAAUCAACGCCAAAGCAAAAGGGGGCAAUCUUCAUGGCACUCCAAUGAAUAUUAUUACACCUCAACCCGAUUGGUCGAACCAAGAUGGCGGGGGAAGCCCAGCAGUGCCCGCAAGACAGCGCCAACGCGCGAACCGUCAUUGGACGAGCGGGCGGGAGUGGGGCGAAUGCGCCGUUCCCGCGCGAUCCGGACCGACGCCACGCGCGAUUGGCGGGUGCGACCGGAGUGGGAGAAAUGUCCCCACGCGGUAUAAAAGCGUGCGGCGAGAGCUCUUGAGAGCUUUUCGCGCGUCAAUCACGAUACAGAAAACAUCGUGCGCGAACGUUCCGUGUACCGACACGUAAAAGGCAGUACCGACGCGUUGCAUGCGCAACAGUAACAACACGCGUCCAGGCGUAAAGCAUACAAGGUGAAAUAGCCCUGUUCUGAGCAUCUUGCGUUAACACGAAUGUGAAUAAGCGCCGCGGACGGGUGUGUGUUAAUUAUUAAGAUUUAUCAUACCUGUAAAAUUAUUAGUGCUGAACAAACAUUAAGGCGCAUUCACUUACCUGUUCUCUCGUGCGUUCCUAUCCUCACGGUGAGCCCGAAAUCCUGAAAUAAAGAGACACCUCAAUAUAAAACGCGACCGCGGGUAAAACAUAACCUCAAAAUCAGACUUACCUGGCGAAGUUCACGUGGGGUGAUUCAGCGACGACGGCGAUUCUGAGCGACGGCAGCAGCAUCUGAAAUAGAAAAAUAUAAAGAAUUAGUGACUAAGUUCGACGCAUACGAAGCUAAGUGCGACAAGCAAAGCAUCGUAGCGAGUGCAUCCGGGACGGCACGCACAGCGUCCUUCCGCAUAGCAACAGCAGUUCCGGGCGCAUUGGAAGAACCGGACUGCCAUUCCUUGCUUCUUAUAGGGUAAAAGAAGCUGGCGACCGUGUCAAGGAGAAAUCCAGAUACGUGAGUCCGAAUAAAGACUAGGUCACGACAUUCCCUCGAUCGAUUCCCCGGUCACAACCUAACCUUGAAACCGUCCAGAGGGGGCACCGAGACCGAAUUACAGCUGACGGAGUCAACGAGUGUAGCUGAGCUGUCAGGAGCAGUUACAUCAACCCCGACAACCACGCGACAGGAGCGGAGUUCAAUCCGAGCCACUAGUGUAAGGUUGAGAAGGCUGAACGAAGCGAAAUCCUACGCGGAGUAAGAAUAGAUUGCGUGAUAUCAAUUAAGAACGCGUUAAAAGGUUUAUUUUCUUUUAUUGUAUUAAUUUCUUUAUUUCAACUAGUCCGCGAAUAGCAGAAAAUCGCGACAUCUCAAAGAUACGUAGAAGACGUAAUAUUUAAGUUAAAGUUUUAGUUUAUUUCAAACUCGCGAGAAAUCAAGUAUCGCACGUCAAAUAUGAUCUUAUGUGUUAGCGUUAAGCAUCAACAGCACGUAAUUUCGUCUAAAAAUAUUUUAUUUUGAAUGACAAAACGUCCGAAGUAUUUUAGUUUAAUUAUUAAAAGUAUCAGUUAUGCGAGAACUGCAAGAGCAGUUGUUACAGUAUUAUUUUUUAUUGUUCAUUAUAAUAAUCUUUCAUUUAAACGUUUCGUUUAUUAUUUCUUAUGCGUACUGCAUGUAUUUUACAAUAUUGUAGAUAGAUUUUAGAUUUAAUAUUGCGAAAGCGUCCUGUAUAAUAAAACAGGAAAGGUGUAAAUGCUGGCAAAGUGUAGCUACCAGAAUGGGUUAUAAACCUGUAAGAAAAUCAUAAUGUUGGUUAAAGGUACUUUUCAGUGCCAUAACCGCACUUCUAAGUGCGAAUGUAAACUGCGUAAAGCAGAAGCGUCUGAUUGGCUGAAGCGGCAGUGGAGGGGAGCGACGAGAUCACCGCAGCGCAAGACGAUUGGCCAGGACACGCGAAAGGAAGUUAGGAGGAAGCUCGGAAGCGACGCGAUGAGCUGAUUGGCCGAGAGUUCCGCAUACAAGUGGAGCUGAGCGCUGAUUGGCUGCAGCGCACAUGGCGGGGCGCCGUAGUAUAAAACGGGGCGCAACAGCGUUUCGAGAGCUUUUCUGAGCCCAGCAAUCGAACGGACAAGACCUCCGCGUCUAUCUUAGAUAUAACUCGCGAAAAAAAGAGAUCGUCGGAAAGUUCCGCGGAAGUGCGACCGCGUAACCAAACAGCGUGUAACCGCCGAAUGCGAGUAGGCGAGUUUCGGAAACGUAAUUCCGCGUUAGACACAAUCGCGAAUCGUGCGUAUAUCGAACACGAAUGUGAAUAAGCAUCGCGUUCGGGAACUGUAAAUAGAAUAAAUGAAAAGAGUUGGACAGACGUACACGACUGUGAUAAGGCGACGCAUACGGGAGUUUGUUAAGCAUAAUUUAAGUGUUUGAUUUACAAUAAAUUCUAUUCAGUGUUUAAAAAUUAAACGAACAAACUGGUGUUGUUAUACUUACUAUAUAUUUACCUGCAUGUGAUCCGUGACAUCAAAUCCUGGGAUAACCUGAAAAUAAGAAGUUUCAUUAAAAUCUGGAAGCGAAGGGGUAUUCGUAAAUCUUGCGUGAACUUACCUGAGCGUAUUCCCGAAGGAUCGAGGAGACCUGGGAAGUCCUGAGUGAUCCAGCGGGGCAGCAGCAUCUGAAAAUAAAAGAGAAAAUUAAUAAAAGUGAAAGUACGAGUUGGCGUCGUUUGAGGGGCGCAUGCGUGAAUGAUGUAGCGCGAAACAUGGCAAUCCGACAUCUCCUGAUUGGCGGAAGCAAACAAUUCACCCCGGACAGCCAAUCAGACGAUGCCGAGUAGUGGGAAGAACAGGAUCGCAAGAAUAAGCAACGAUCCUCGAGCAGUGUUCGUAUAUCGGGCAACUUUUAGUGCAUGCGCAGUGGCGCACUCCAGCCACACGCACAGUAACGUAUAUAUUUCGUCGAAACAGAUGGUAUCAAUAGGACAGGAAAAAAUAAUUAAAAAAAAAAUUUCUAGCAAUUGAAUAACACAAUUAAAUUAUAAUUAAUAAUAAUAAAGUUUAUUAAUAGUUCGCGUCUGCAGCCGACUUAUAAUUAUUUACCAACAUUCGUUGCAAAGGUAAGGGAAACUGCAAAAAACCUUAACAGUAUAUUAAUAAAAAAAUUACAUAAAUACAAGAAAUUUACAUAAGUACAAGUAUUAAUAGAAAAUUACGUAAAAGUAUUAUACAAAAUAUUAAUAAAUAAAUAUAUAUAUAUUGCAU